AGCGAACGCUGGCGGCAGGCUUAACACAUGCAAGUCGAGCGGGCCCUUCGGGGUCAGCGGCGGACGGGUGAGUAACGCGUGGGAACGUGCCUUCUGGUCUGGAAUAACCCUGGGAAACUAGGGUUAAUACCGGAUACGCCCUUUUGGGGAAAGGUUUACUGCCGGAAGAUCGGCCCGCGUCUGAUUAGCUAGUUGGUGGGGUAACGGCCUACCAAGGCGACGAUCAGUAGCUGGUCUGAGAGGAUGAUCAGCCACACUGGGACUGAGACACGGCCCAGACUCCUACGGGAGGGAGCAGUGGGGAAUAUUGGACAAUGGGCGCAAGCCUUAUCCAGCCAUGCCGCGUGAGUGAUGAAGGCCUUAGGGUUGUAAAGCUCUUUUAUCCGGGACGAUAAUGACGGUACCGGAGGAAUAAGCCCCGGCUAACUUCGUG
Molecule: ribosomal RNA, 433 nt
Filed under: uncultured bacterium
Lineage: Bacteria
Description: partial 16S ribosomal RNA
Rfam family: Bacterial small subunit ribosomal RNA
Source: RNAcentral